This is a long non-coding RNA of Manis javanica (Malayan pangolin), 1078 nucleotides long. RefSeq lists it as uncharacterized. The record is from RefSeq and is a predicted model, not a curated record. NCBI's taxonomy places the organism in Eukaryota, Metazoa, Chordata, Mammalia, Pholidota, Manidae.
CUCCCCUGGUGUCCUCUGCAGGAGCGCUGUCUCCGACCUCUGGGCACCCCGGCUCACGGGACCCUGUCUGUGCCUCCUGCCAGGGGUGUUCAGUGCAUGUCCCCCCAUGUCUCUGACUCCCAGAUUCCAACUCCUCAGGCCUGGGCCCAGGUCUCCCUCAUCGCCGUGUGUGCCCCAUCACCGGGCUGUCUAUUCAACUCUCGGAGCCAGGCCCAGCCUUGCCCAGGGGACACCUCUGGUCCUGGGAGGAGUGCUGGUGAGUUAAUGUCAUGGGGCUUCACUGAUGACCUGGUCUUGAAACUUGAUGAACAGGAAGCAUCCUGUUUAAAACUUACAUGAACCAUCUCAAGCCUUUUCUGAAGUCCUACAGAGCAGUGGCAGCCUGGAUUUGUUAUCCUUCCAAGAUCAUCUCUUGGGAGGACACCAGCCUCUUAUUAUAUCUCCCAGCCUGCCUGCGGGCAGCUCUGCAAAUCCUGCAUUCUUUGCUUGGCGUACUUGCUUCUGGCCUGGGUGUUCCGACGCCACCUCUGGCACCAGCAGGGUGGGUAGAUGGACAAAAUAAUUAAGCCCCAUGAGUUGGAAGGAGAACUAAUUCCCCCGUGCAAACCUUUUUUUUUCUUCUUGUCCUGGGUUACUUCAAAUGUGUUAAUCCAGGACUGCUGUUUUCUCCCUUUUGUAACAGGUCUAAUUUAAAGCAGUGCUGUUUUUUUCUUUAAGCUGUAUUUUUCAUUAGAGUGUAGUACAUGUGAACUUCAUAACAUUAAAGAUAUUUUUCCUUGUUUGUUAUAAAAUAAUUUAACUAUGUUAAACCCAGGUUUGAAAAGAGAAGAAUAAAAGAUCACCCCUAAUCUUACCACAGACACACCGGAUCCAGUUUCUGUGUUUUCCCUUCCAGCCUUUGUCUGGACACAUCCUUAACUGCAUCCGGGUAUGAUCCUGAUACACAUCUGCUUUUUGAAAGAACCUGAUCUGAGAGCACGUGCAUUGCCCCAUGUUGCCACAUAGUCUUUCUCACCAUCGUUAACAUAUAAUACACCUUGUAGGAUCAUAAUUUAUUUAAUCCACCUCCUGUGGUUGG